RNAcentral lists this ribosomal RNA (995 nucleotides) under uncultured bacterium. Its description in RNAcentral is "bacterial SSU rRNA". It matches the Rfam family "Bacterial small subunit ribosomal RNA", at positions 355 to 1375 of the family's 1533-position model. The record is from RNAcentral.
UGGGGAAUAUUGCACAAUGGGGGAAACCCUGAUGCAGCGACGCCGCGUGGAGGAAGAAGGUCUUCGGAUUGUAAACUCCUGUUGUUGAGGAAGAUAAUGACGGUACUCAACAAGGAAGUGACGGCUAACUACGUGCCAGCAGCCGCGGUAAAACGUAGGUCACAAGCGUUGUCCGGAAUUACUGGGUGUAAAGGGAGCGCAGGCGGGAAGACAAGUUGGAAGUGAAAUCCAUGGGCUCAACCCAUGAACUGCUUUCAAAACUGUUUUUCUUGAGUAGUGCAGAGGUAGGCGGAAUUCCCGGUGUAGCGGUGGAAUGCGUAGAUAUCGGGAGGAACACCAGUGGCGAAGGCGGCCUACUGGGCACCAACUGACGCUGAGGCUCGAAAGUGUGGGUAGCAAACAGGAUUAGAUACCCUGGUAGUCCACACUGUAAACGAUGAUUACUAGGUGUUGGAGGAUUGACCCCUUCAGUGCCGCAGUUAACACAAUAAGUAAUCCACCUGGGGAGUACGACCGCAAGGUUGAAACUCAAAGGAAUUGACGGGGGCCCGCACAAGCAGUGGAGUAUGUGGUUUAAUUCGACGCAACGCGAAGAACCUUACCAAGUCUUGACAUCCUGCGACGGUGCUGGAAACAGAACUUUCCUUCGGGACGCAGAGACAGGUGGUGCAUGGUUGUCGUCAGCUCGUGUCGUGAGAUGUUGGGUUAAGUCCCGCAACGAGCGCAACCCUUAUGGUCAGUUACUACGCAAGAGGACUCUGGCCAGACUGCCGUUGACAAAACGGAGGAAGGUGGGGAUGACGUCAAAUCAUCAUGCCCUUUAUGACUUGGGCUACACACGUACUACAAUGGCGUUAAACAAAGAGAAGCAAGACCGCGAGGUGGAGCAAAACUCAGAAACAACGUCCCAGUUCGGACUGCAGGCUGCAACUCGCCUGCACGAAGUCGGAAUUGCUAGUAAUCGCAGAUCAGCAUGCUGCGGUGAAUACGUUCCC